ACCGCAUUAUCUUCUUUUCUCUUCCUUUUUCACCGAGCAAGCAGAGCAGCCAAUUCUUCUUCUUCUUCUAUUCCUUCUUGAUGAGAUUCGUUUGAACAUCUUGGUUAGAAAUCGACAAUUUCUUUUACAAGCCAUUAGAAGGUGGACCAGCUAAAAAAUUACCUAAGUUUGAAAAACCAUUGGAUACUUCAUCGUCUGUUUUGUAUAUUGGUUUCUAUGAAAAGGAAAUGGAAGGGGAUCCCGUGGUCUCUACUUGACCAGCUUUGAUAUUCUGGGAGCUCAGCAUAUUAUUAUGAAUAUGGCAACCACCUUUCUGGCGGAAUCCCUUAUCCACCAAUGCAUUUGUCCGGUGGACCUUCACCAUAUUCCAGCGGAUCUGUGAUGGGACAAGGUACAACCCCUUUUCUUUCCUCUUCCUGUCAUGCUAAAAGCAAUGCUUUAUUUAGGAUUAGUCAUCUCUUUGCUGAAAAUUUCACCACUACAAUUUAAUUUUUGUUUAUAGACUAUCGUUGUCACUUCUAUUGUUCGUCAACUCAUUGUUGUCAUUGCCAAAUAUGGUGUGGUGAUGGUGCAUGUAGUAAUAAUCCCAGAUAUUUUAUAAAUUUCGGCACCAUGCCCAUAUUAUUCAACUAAUAUAA
Molecule: long non-coding RNA, 638 nt
Organism: Papaver somniferum (opium poppy)
Lineage: Eukaryota; Viridiplantae; Streptophyta; Magnoliopsida; Ranunculales; Papaveraceae
Exons: 3
Source: RefSeq, a predicted model, not a curated record